RNAcentral lists this ribosomal RNA (450 nucleotides) under uncultured bacterium. Its description in RNAcentral is "partial 16S ribosomal RNA". It matches the Rfam family "Bacterial small subunit ribosomal RNA", at positions 354 to 796 of the family's 1533-position model. The record is from RNAcentral.
GUGGGGAAUCUUCCGCAAUGGACGAAAGUCUGACGGAGCAACGCCGCGUGAGUGAUGAAGGUCUUCGGAUUGUAAAGCUCUGUUAAUCGGGACGAAAGAGCCUAGUGUGAAUAAUGCUAGGAAGUGACGGUACCGGAAUAGAAAGCCACGGCUAACUACGUGCCAGCAGCCGCGGUAAUACGUAGGUGGCAAGCGUUGUCCGGAAUUAUUGGGCGUAAAGCGCGCGCAGGCGGAUCUGCCAGUCUGUCUUAAAAGUUCGGGGCGUAACCCCGUGAUGGGAUGGAAACUACAGAUAUAGAGUAUCGGAGAGGAAAGUGGAAUUCCUAGUGUAGCGGUGAAAUGCGUAGAUAUUAGGAAGAACACCAGUGGCGAAGGCGACUUUCUGGACGAAAACUGACGCUGAGGCGCGAAAGCCAGGGGAGCGAACGGGAUUAGAAACCCUAGUAGUCC